Molecule: long non-coding RNA, 288 nt
Filed under: Homo sapiens (human)
Lineage: Eukaryota; Metazoa; Chordata; Mammalia; Primates; Hominidae
Description: HSALNT0081643
Source: RNAcentral
ACUCUCUGGGGAGAGGAUGCCCCAGCAUGGAAACGAAAAGGGAUAAUAAAGAAAGAAAAGAAGAAAAGUGUCACAGUGGAAAAGACCAAGCAGAUCAAGAGGAAUAAAAGACAAACCACAGACUGGGAGAAAAUAUUUGCAGAAGAUAUACACGACAAAGGACUCUUGUCUAAAAUAUACAAAGAACUCUUAAAACUCAACACAAACAAAAUAAACAAUUUGAUUAAAACUGAGCCAAGACUUUAACAGACACCUUACCAAAGACAUACAGAUGGCAAAGAAGCAUAA